This is a long non-coding RNA of Hibiscus syriacus, 427 nucleotides long. RefSeq lists it as uncharacterized. The record is from RefSeq and is a predicted model, not a curated record. The transcript has 2 exons. NCBI's taxonomy places the organism in Eukaryota, Viridiplantae, Streptophyta, Magnoliopsida, Malvales, Malvaceae.
UUUCUUUUAUUUUUCAAUUUCUCUGUUCCCCCAAGCUCCUUCCCCCUUCUCAUUUUUAUUAUUAUGUGUUUUGAUCAAUGGAUGUAUUUUACAAAACGGGACAGAAGUUUGGCUCUUUGGCUAACUUAUAAAUCCCUGCCAUGGAGAUGAAUGCUGCUCCCAAUAUCAAAUCCCUUCAACUUUGUCUCCAAAUUCGCUACGAUCGGCCAUCGAUUCCAAAAAUUCUAGCGGAUUCUUCGAAAAAAUGGAGGUGUUUAACUGCUCGGAAAUAAAACGAUGCUUUUGCUCUUCAGAUUUGCUGAGGUUAUCCCUUGAAGCUGGUCUAGUAAGCCUUAGCACAUUCCCUUUCUAUUUCUCGUCGAUCUCGUAACUGUUUGAUAUUGUAAAAUAUAUUUUUCACAAAUUAAUCAAUGCCUAAAACUCAGAA